RNAcentral lists this microRNA (22 nucleotides) under Branchiostoma floridae (Florida lancelet). Its description in RNAcentral is "bfl-miR-4897". The record is from miRBase by way of RNAcentral. Lineage: Eukaryota; Metazoa; Chordata; Leptocardii; Amphioxiformes; Branchiostomatidae.
UUGCCGAUUGAUAGCUGCCAAU